CCUACGGGUGGCAGCAGUGAGGAAUAUUGGUCAAUGGGCGCAAGCCUGAACCAGCCAAGUCGCGUGAGGGAUGACGGUCCUAUGGAUUGUAAACCUCUUUUGUCGGGGAGCAAGGCCCGCCACGUGUGGCGGUAAGGAGAGCACCCGAAGAAAAAGCAUCGGCUACCUCCGUGCCAGCGGCCGCGGUAAUAGGGGGGAUGCGAGCGUUAUCCGGAUUUAUUGGGGUUAAAGGGUGCGUAGGCGGAAGGUUAAGUCAGCGGUAAAAUGUCGGGGCGAAACACCGAACUGCCGUUGAAACUGGUCGGCUUGAGUGAGCGAGAAGUAUGCGGAAUGCGUGGUGUAGCGGUGAAAUGCAUAGAUAUCACGCAGAACACCGAUUGCGAAGGCAGCAUACCGGCGCUCAACUGACGCUGAGGCACGAAAGCGUGGGGAGCGAACAGGAUUAGAUACCCGGGUAGUC
RNAcentral lists this ribosomal RNA (460 nucleotides) under uncultured bacterium. RNAcentral's name for it is "partial 16S ribosomal RNA". It matches the Rfam family "Bacterial small subunit ribosomal RNA", at positions 338 to 795 of the family's 1533-position model. The record is from RNAcentral.